CUGUUUGCGUGUACAUCCUGAAAUUCCAACGAUAUUGAUACCUACAGUGAUAUCCCAAAUCUAACUGUGUAUCCCAUAACCCCUCCAAUUCCACCUCCUAAAGAUCUUCCUAAACCGUGUUUUUUAUUUCCCUCCACUCCACAUUAGCCAGACAAUAGCUAUCACACAAGAAGUCCACAUUAUUUGGACCUUUUUCUUCUCCACAAACAAAUUUAUUUAAAUUACUGAAGCUUUGUUAGGAAAAUGGUUGUUGAGAUUAACCUCGGAGCACAAUUCUUUCCAGUUUGAGAGUAAGUUUUGAGUGAAAUAUAAUCAGUAGAACUCCCAGAUUUCGUAGAAGGGUUUUCAUUUUAGGAUAUGGGAACAUUGGAAUUGAAUUGGCAAAGCGCUUGAGACCGUUUGGUGUGAAAAUUAUUGCCUCCAAACGGAGGUGGGCCACAGAGUCACAGUAUUCUUGCCUUCUGAAUUUUCAGUUCAAAAUUGUUCCGCCGAGAAUUUGGUCGAUGAGAAGUGUGUCCAUGAAGAUAUCCACAAGUUUGCAAGUAAAGCAGACAUCGUUGUUUGAUGCGUGCGUUUAAACAGUGAAACAGUUGGCAUUGUAAACAAGUCGUUCAUAUCUUCGAUGAGAAAGGGAGAGACGAAAGAAGAACCCUACAUUUGUAAGAUUGUGGAAAUGUUUGAAGCAAUUGGUGGGCUAUUAUAUUUUACUGCACAACGGUACUAUAGGUCACGAGACACUGUAAGAUAUUUUGAAAGAAACCUUUUCAUGAUUCUCCUUCCAAAUACUUUGUUUCAUGGUUUUGUUACGUUAAAAAGUAAGAAUCCUGCUAUUGGGCGCUGAAUUAUUAGUUUUUUGCUUUCUUGUAUGUCAUAAAGCACUGUGCUAGUGUUGCUUGUGGGCGUGUAUUUAUUUCAGAUGUCCGAGACGACAACCCUCUGGAUUAUCUUGUUGAAAAACUUCAUAUUGUUAGGCUGACACUAAAUGUAUGCUUGAAGUUUCCAUAUUCAUGCUUUUUUAGUUGUUCAUGAAGUCCAACAUGAAUGAGUUAUCCUUUUUCUCUCAGGUUGAUCAAGAUGCGAAGAGUAAAUCAAUUCCAGUGUGCAAUUACAAUUGCGACACCAAAAAAUAUAUAGUCUGGAAGCGAUGACUCAACUAUCGCUGUUGAGGAUGCUGUUUUGUUUGGAUAGUGAGGUUGAUUCAAAGCUGCCAAAUGGAGUGUGUACGAAAUCAGAAGGAAGGCUCCUGGACCUAUAUUUGGGGGUUGUGGAGCGAUGUCUACUGGCCUGUGGCUUGGUGCGCAUUUGGCCAAUAUCAAUCUUGUUACAAUAUGGGCUGUUGACUACAAUGGAUACGCUUGUAAGAGUCUAGAACAGAAGUACAGAACCAUCCAGAGACAGAGGUCCGAAAUGAAGCUGCUGAAGAUUUCCUCAAAAUGCUCAAGGAAUGGAGAAAGUUGUGCAUCUGUUUAAAGUUGGUUGAGACUGGCAAUUUAGAGGCGGAUGUCGAGAAGAGUAUGCUUGAAUUCUUUCGGAAGGAAGAUGAGGAAGAGGAAGAAGAGGAAGAAAAGGAAGAAAAUGUUGGAGGAAUGUUAAGGAUGAUUCUGAAAUUUUUGAAGUUGAUUGCGUAGGACGAGUAUGUUUUGGUGACCCCGAAAAAAAAUGAGAAAGGAAUAAACUUAAAGAUUUAUUGGAAGGGCUACAGGCCUGACGAAGACACCUGGGAGCCAAUGAAUGAAUUGGAGUCUGCAACUAUUCUUAUUUACGCUUGCAGUAUUAUCCGUUGCAUGUUUUGUAUCAUUUAUGUACUGUGAUGUUGUAAACUAAAGCUCAUGUUUUUCUGUCAAACAGGCAUUGUAAGCAGGUUAUCGAAGACUUUAUUACUGAAGGUUACAUAUGAUAUACACAUGUUUAUCAUGCA
RNA transcript from Pyrus x bretschneideri (Chinese white pear), 1918 nucleotides. It is a transcript of the gene named DNA (cytosine-5)-methyltransferase CMT3-like, with no coding region annotated. Lineage: Eukaryota; Viridiplantae; Streptophyta; Magnoliopsida; Rosales; Rosaceae. The record is from RefSeq and is a predicted model, not a curated record. The transcript is spliced from 8 exons.